Non-coding RNA from Drosophila melanogaster (fruit fly), 640 nucleotides. Lineage: Eukaryota; Metazoa; Arthropoda; Insecta; Diptera; Drosophilidae. The record is from Ensembl.
AGCCCGGGCUCCCGUGUAGUCCCGCCUGAUGAUGAAAUCCUCUAGGGAGGCCGGUGCCGGAGUCUUCCUUGCCUGCCUUCCAACGCCGAGUCCACUGCCAGGACCUCCGCUGGCAUUUCUCGAGCUCGCCGAGUCGGUUUUUCCGCGCGAAAGUAUCUGGACAGGGACAUAAGUAUCUUCGGAGUAUCUGAUAACAUUUUCCAGGCACAUUUCUUACCAUUUUUUCGCACAGCCGUUCGUUUUCUCGGGAUUUGCGCUCCUUACUGCCCAGCUGGCUCCUCGGUGUUUGGGUCUUGUGUGUUUUGCGUUUUUCUGUUUUCGUCGGCAACGCUUGGUUACGGUCGCUUGGCAACCUACAUAGCGUCGAUAAAGCAGUUCGACCACGCCUCACUGCGCCCAGAAAGCGCCCCUUCUGGAUACUUGUGCGCAAUCCUAUCCGUAUCCUUGCCCUCAACUGCAGCUGGGAACCAACUGUUGAUACGUCGGAACAGCCACCCUUAAUUCUUGGGAUAUCGUCUUCUCAUUUUCCGAUGAUGUCAGCAGGACUUCAUACCCCUUAAAUAUUUUUUCUUUGGGGUAUAAUUGAAUGUGGUUUUCAUGAAACAGUUUAAAUAAUAUAAUCUAUUAAUAAUAUCAGUUC